RNAcentral lists this ribosomal RNA (503 nucleotides) under uncultured bacterium. RNAcentral describes it as "partial 16S ribosomal RNA". It matches the Rfam family "Bacterial small subunit ribosomal RNA", at positions 30 to 523 of the family's 1533-position model. The record is from RNAcentral.
AUUGAACGCUGGCGGCAGGCUUAACACAUGCAAGUCGAGCGGAGUGAUGGUGCUUGCACUAUCACUUAGCGGCGGACGGGUGAGUAAUGCUUAGGAAUCUGCCUAUUAGUGGGGGACAACAUCUCGAAAGGGAUGCUAAUACCGCAUACGUCCUACGGGAGAAAGCAGGGGAUCACUUGUGACCUUGCGCUAAUAGAUGAGCCUAAGUCGGAUUAGCUAGUUGGUGGGGUAAAGGCCUACCAAGGCGACGAUCUGUAGCGGGUCUGGGAGGAUGAUCCGCCACACUGGGACUGAGGCACGGCCCAGACUCCUACGGGAGGCAGCAGUGGGGAAUAUUGGACAAUGGGGGGAACCCUGAUCCAGCCAUGCCGCGUGUGUGAAGAAGGCCUUAUGGCUGUAAAGCACUUUAAGCGAGGAGGAGGCUCUUUUGGUUAAUACCCAAGAUGAGUGGACGUUACUCGCAGAAUAAGCACCGGCUAACUCUGUGCCAGCCGCCGCCGUAA